Molecule: transfer RNA, 74 nt
Filed under: Bdellovibrionales bacterium
Lineage: Bacteria; Pseudomonadati; Bdellovibrionota; Bdellovibrionia; Bdellovibrionales
Description: tRNA-Pro
Rfam family: tRNA
About the family: Transfer RNA (tRNA) molecules are approximately 80 nucleotides in length. Their secondary structure includes four short double-helical elements and three loops (D, anti-codon, and T loops).
Source: RNAcentral
CGGACCGUAGCGCAGCCCGGUAGCGCGUCACCUUGGGGUGGUGGAGGUCGCUGGUUCAAAUCCAGUCGGUCCGA